This is a long non-coding RNA of Canis lupus familiaris (dog), 1691 nucleotides long. RefSeq lists it as uncharacterized. The record is from RefSeq and is a predicted model, not a curated record. Lineage: Eukaryota; Metazoa; Chordata; Mammalia; Carnivora; Canidae. The transcript has 5 exons.
AGGGAGUGCGCAGGCUCUGGGCUCCCGCCCCCCGGGCUCGGGCCAGAAGCGCCAACUUUGCGGGGGCCCGGCCCGGUGCGAGCCCCUCCGCGAGAUCCCAUACAGCGCUUGCUUGUCAUGUCCCCGGCGACCUCUCAGGCUGGCCUUGUUCUGAUGACCUCGACAGUCUCCAGAGUCUGGCCAGCAGAGGAUCCAUACUGUCAACGUGGCUCGCCGCUGCUGACCUUCACCUUGAUCACCUGGCUCAGGUCACGUUCGCAUCAGGCCAGCACCUGAGCGCGCAUGAGAGUUGGGGCAGGAGCUCCCGCCGGAGUCUGCAGCCGCCAGCAGAGUGUGGUCCAGGAGAGACCCCGAGAUGCUGGCGCAUGACCUUGCAGAAUGCUGCGUCCGUCCCCUGCUCUGGAGUGACUGUUCUCUGUGACAGGAUCCUAUGAGGACCCGCGGGCAUGUGGGCCACGAUGGGGCACCCGCUCCCCACUCCGUGGACGAGGCCAAGCUCCGGUUUAUGGCUGAGACCCUCGACCCAGAAGACAAUUCUGUAGGGAAAGAGAUGGUGACGCCUCCAGGUCCUCCAUGAACACCGAUGACCUGACGGUUGCGUCUGUCGCGCCGAGCGGACGCCGCGGGGAAGGUGCAGGUGCUCGGCCGCCCUCGGAGCCCGGGCGCGGGACGUCCUUCUCGGAAGCACCAGCGGCCACACACAGAUCGACGCCAGCUGCUCACUGACAGGUUCCCGGGGAGCACGUUUGGCUUCCUGUGCAAACACGGGAAUACCUGAUUCCAAACGUGGAUCAAGACCUAUUGUAAGAAGGACAGCAGUUGGGUGACCGGUCGAGACUGUGCCUCUUGCGGCCGUGGGUCCCCCGGAGAAGCGUGUCCCGUUUUGUCCUCGGGCUGCACGUGGGGCGGGGGAGUCUCGCCUGCAGGUUUCCUGGGACACCUGGACGGUCCUAGCAACGUCUCUCCUCCCUCCCGGGCGCGCUGCAGCUCUCGGUCUGUCUGGGUCGCAGGACACGGAGAGAGCGACUGGGUGUCCUGACGUCCAGGUACGUGGUGUGACACACGCGGCGGAGCUAAGAGGCAUCGGGCCGUGAGCGGCUGCGCCCACUGGGUAGGGACACACCUCCCUGGACCUGGCGUGAACGUUCACGUGGUCACCCGGUCGCUGCUCAACACACCCUCUAACUUUUACUCCGUGUUUCCGGCAGCCCCGGUGACGGGAGGCGUCCCGGCUGUGGGACCCGCGUCCGGGUUGGGUCCUGGCCUCCGUGCCCAGCUCCGGGGGCUUCGUCCAGAGCAAGGGGGGCCGCGUUCUCGAAGCUGGCUCCCUGCAGUGCCCUUGCCUUUCCCCGGACUCAGACUGUAGAGCUGUUAGAAGUCAGAGGCCGGGCUGGGAGGAUUUACAGGGACAACGGAGGGUGGAAUCAGCCACACUUUGCUUUAAUCAGGCUUUAGUUGCUGUGGCCUCGAGGCCUGUCAGCUUCCGAGGUAUUUGCAUAUCAGCACGAGGCUGUCCUGGGUGUUAAUCCUGUUUACCUCUCCCAGCAUCUCCUCCCGCCUUCCAGCAGGUGUCUGACUUCAGUGGCUGCCUCUGGGGGACUCCUGUGCUGGGGACACCGGCCUCCUCUGCUCCCUGGGCGGAGCCCUCCAGCCCGAGGGUAGAUGGGGUUGGGGUCAGAACAAAGCCUGGU